GGAAGGCAGCAGGCGCGCAAAUUACCCACUCCCGGCACGGGGAGGUAGUGACGAAAAAUAACGAUACGGGACUCAUCCGAGGCCCCGUAAUCGGAAUGAGUACACUCUAAACCCUUUAACGAGGAUCAAUUGGAGGGCAAGUCUGGUGCCAGCAGCCGCGGUAAUUCCAGCUCCAAUAGCGUAUAUUAAAGUUGUUGCGGUUAAAAAGCUCGUAGUCGAAUCUGUGUCCCGCGCCGCCGGUUCAUCGCUCGCGGUGUUUAACUGGCGUGUCCGCGGGACGUCCUGCCGGUGGGCUCAGCCCCGCGAGGGGCGGCCCAACUUCAAAUCCCACCGCGGUGCUCUUCACUGAGUGUCGAGGUGGGCCGGCACGUUUACUUUGAACAAAUUAGAGUGCUUAAAGCAGGCUAAAACUUCGCCUGAAUACUGUGUGCAUGGAAUAAUGGAAUAGGACCUCGGUUCUAUUUUGUUGGUUUUCGGAACCCCGAGGUAAUGAUUAAUAGGAACGGAUGGGGGCAUUCGUAUUGCGACGUUAGAGGUGAAAUUCUUGGAUCGUCGCAAGACGGACAGAAGCGAAAGCAUUUGCCAAAAACGCUUUCAUUGAUCAAGAACGAAAGUUAGAGGUUCGAAGGCGAUCAGAUACCGCCCUAGUUCUAACCAUAAACGAUGCCAGCUAGCGAUCCGCCGACGUUCCUCCGAUGACUCGGCGGGCAGCUUCCGGGAAACCAAAGCUUUUGGGUUCCGGGGGAAGUAUGGUUGCAAAGCUGAAACUUAAAGGAAUUGACGGAAGGGCACCACCAGGAGUGGAGCCUGCGGCUUAAUUUGACUCAACACGGGAAACCUCACCAGGCCCGGACACCGGAAGGAUUGACAGAUUGAGAGCUCUUUCUUGAUUCGGUGGGUGGUGGUGCAUGGCCGUUCUUAGUUGGUGGAGCGAUUUGUCUGGUUAAUUCCGAUAACGAACGAGACUCUAGCCUGCUAACUAGGCGCAUUUACGACAUCUCAAAGGCCCGCCGGUCCGGCGCUCUCGCGUCGCGUCCGCGCGCGGUUUUUACUGUCGGCGUACAAUCAAUUCUUCUUAGAGGGACAGGCGGCUUCUAGCCGCACGAGAUUGAGCAAUAACAGGUCUGUGAUGCCCUUAGAUGUUCUGGGCCGCACGCGCGCUACACUGAAGGAAUCAGCGUGUCCUCCCUGGCCGAGAGGCCCGGGUAACCCGCUGAACCUCCUUCGUGCUAGGGAUUGGGGCUUGCAAUUGUUCCCCAUGAACGAGGAAUUCCCAGUAAGCGCGAGUCAUAAGCUCGCGUUGAUUACGUCCCUGCCCUUUGUACACACCGCCCGUCGCUACUACCGAUUGAAUGAUUUAGUGAGGUCUUCGGACCGGUACGCGGCGGCGCUUGCGCGUCGCCGAUGUUGCUGGGAAGAUGACCAAA
RNAcentral lists this ribosomal RNA (1427 nucleotides) under Anacaena lindi. Its description in RNAcentral is "SSU rRNA". It matches the Rfam family "Eukaryotic small subunit ribosomal RNA", at positions 420 to 1763 of the family's 1831-position model. Lineage: Eukaryota; Metazoa; Arthropoda; Insecta; Coleoptera; Hydrophilidae. The record is from RNAcentral.